Molecule: small RNA, 555 nt
Filed under: Pan troglodytes (chimpanzee)
Lineage: Eukaryota; Metazoa; Chordata; Mammalia; Primates; Hominidae
Description: processed transcript
Source: RNAcentral
GAGAGCCUGGGCAGGCAGCAGCUGGCUGACCAAGUCCACUGGAAGAGAAGGCUUGUGCCAGCCGGGAGAAGGAAGCCGGGGACAGGAUGAAAGCAACAACACCUUUACAGACAGUCGACCGGCCCAAGGACUGGUACAAGACGAUGUUUAAGCAAAUUCACAUGGUGCACAAGCCGGGUCUGUACAACCCACCCUACAGUGCUCAGUCACACCCUGCUGCAAAGACCCAAACCUACAGACCUCUUUCCAAAAGCCACUCUGACAACAGCCCCAAUGCCUUUAAGGAUGUGUCCUCCCCAGUGCCUCCCCCACAUGUUCCACCUCCAGUCCCACCGCUUCGACCAAGAGAUCGGUCUUCAACAGAAAAGCAUGACUGGGAUCCUCCAGACAGAAAAGUGGACACAAGAAAAUUUCGGUCUGAGCCAAGGAGUAUUUUUGAAUAUGAACCUGGCAAGUCAUCAAUUCUUCAGCAUGAAAGACCAGUUACCAAGCCUCAAGCUUCCUGAUUGAUUGUCAUUCUAAUGGAUCAAGAUUAUAUUUCACUUUGCAUUUAAU